CAGGACUGAACCAGGACUAAACCAGGACUAAACCUGGACUGAACCAGGACUAAACCUGGACUAAACCUGGACUGAACCAGGACUGAACCAGGACUGAACCAGGACUAAACCAGGACUGAACCAGGACUGAACCAGGACUAAACCAGGACUGAACCAGGACUGAACCAGGACUAAACCAGGACUAACCAGGACUAAACUAGGACUAAACCAAGACUAAAAGAGGACUGAACCAGGACUAAACUGUUUUCAGUCCUAGUCUGGUCCCAGUCUCGGUUCCGGUCCAGGACAUUUACCGUUUAUUUUUCCCGCAGAUUUUCUAAAACAAAUAAAUAUGAAGUUUGGAAGCUCAGGUCGAAUCAUCUCUGUGGAAAUAAUGAACACAAGAUCUCUAACUUUUAAUUUAAACUCUUUUCUGAAACUUUAUGAACCACAAAGUUAUUAAAACGUGUCACGGAAUCGUUUUAAAUUUGAUUGUUGGUUUUAAAACAGCCGAUGCCUUUGAACUCUUAAUAUUUUCAUUUUUGAAAAGUCUGUGGGAAAAAAUAAAUGGAAAAUUUAAUUCCAGAAUCAGAACUUUCGAAGCGGCGAGACUGUUGAGCUCCUUUGGAUUUAAAAUUUCAGAAAAGCACCAGUUUUAAUCUUUGUUUUUAGAUUACUGGCAGAAAAAAAUGUACACUUUAAACAUUUAUAAAUAUACAAUAAACAAAACAAACAUCAACAAAAAACAUAUUAAAUUAAAAAAAAUAUAUAUUAAUAUUUAAAAAAAAAUCUAUAUAUUUUUUGUUUGGCUAAAAAUAAAUAAAUAAAUAAAUUCUUACGUGAAAAAAUUUUUUAUGGUUAUUUCCAGUCAGAAUAAUUUGAAAUGAACCCAAAACAGCGAGUUAGUUACAGACUUAUAAUUUCACGUUUAAAUCUAGAGAUAAAACUUGAAAAAUAAAAAUUCCCCCGACGUGUCUCGACUUAAAUCUUUAGACUAAACAGAAGGUUUUGCUCAUGUUGUUGUUUUUUGUUUUUGUUUUUUUUCCUAAAUCUCAUUCACCACUUUUGUCCCUUUAACUCUGGACUCAGGGCAACGCCAUCCACUGGUUUAAAGCUGCAUUGUGUAACUUUUCUGCUGGAGGUUGCGCCGCAUAGACAUAGGGGGUGUUACUGCUUUGCUUGGCAUGUUCCAGAAUGUGGCAGUUUAAAACUCUACUCAGCCUUUGUUUCACUGGAGGUGAUUUUAUUGUUCAGAAAACCUUGAAGUACCUGGGCUCUUGUGUGAACGGGCUCGCCUCUCCACAGAACUGGUCUGCGCUUUGUCUCCAUGGAGAUAGAGUUUAAUGGGGUUUAAUGCCGCUCCGUGAAACAUUCCAGGCUGAACACUUAAGUGCGUCGACAUGGAGACUAGCGCGUGGCGUUUCCUCCCAAGAAAAGUUACACAGUGCAUCUUUAAGAUAUAUACAGUCUAUAGGUAAAGCUAUAGACCCUAUACAGAUACAUACAGUCUAUAGGUAACUUCAUACACCGUGUACAGAUAUAUUUUGUCUAUAAGUAAAUAGAUAAUAAUAAUAAUACAAAUAAUUAUAUAUUGUAUUGUUAACCAUAGACUGUAUACACAUAUAUACGGUCUAUAGGUAACUGCAUAUAGAUAUAUACAGUCUAUAGGGAACAUAUGGAAGAUAAUUUGUUAUAUAAUAAUGUUUGUUUUUUUAACUCUGAAAAAAGAUGUUUGAAAUAUUUUAUUCCGAAUUCUAGUGGCUGAAAUUUGAAGUUUACUUUCAAUUCAAAAUAAACAAUAUUUUCAAGCCCUCAAAAAAAUUCACCAGUCGAAAUUCAGAACGUAAACUUCGCAGUGAAAAAUUUCACGGCAAAGAGCCAAGAUGCCAAGGCAGAAGCAAUCGAUCAUGUGACAUAUGAGCGAGGAGGACAGAGGCCGUUUCCUAUUGGCUGUUCUCAUUUGUGGGCGGGGUUUACACUUAACCAAUCAAAGAGAUGGAGUUUUGAUGAGGUUAAUUUUGACCAAUCAGAUCAUGUCACUGCAACAUUUCCUGUUUCUUACUAAGUUAGAUCGAAUCACUUUGGAUCGAUUGCUUCUGCCUUGGCAUCUCAGAUCUUUUCUGCGAAUUUUACACUCUGAAUUUUGACUGUUGAAUUUGAAGGCUUGAAGAUAUUUGUGCUGAAUAUUUAAAAGGUGAUUUUUUAAAUAUUGAAUUUUAUACACUGAAAAUUUCACAAACAAAAAUUCACAAUAAAAAUAAUUCAAACAUGUUUUUUCAGAGGAAAAAAUUUCAAAGUGAGAAAUUCAACAGCGUUUAAAAUUCAAAAUCUGAUGAAACAAAUGAUCUUCCAUAGGAACUCCACAGACUUUAUACAGAUAUAUACAGUCUACAGGUAACAUCAGACCGUAUACAGAUAUAUACGGUCUAUAGGCAACUCCAUAGACUGUAUAUACAUAUAUAUUGUAUUGUUUCCUAUAGACCGUGUACAGAUGGAGUCUAGGUAAAAACAGACUGUUUCUAGAUAUAUACAAUUUAUAAGGCAGCGCUAUAGACUGUACACAGAUAUAUACAGUCUAAAGAUAAAACUAUAGAAUAUAUAUAGAACGAUAUAUAGUCUAUAGGUAACAACAGACAGACAGUCAAAAUGUACUGCCAUAGACUGUAUACAGAUAUAUACGAUCUAUAGGUAACUCCAGAGACUGUACACAGAUAUAUAUUGUAUUGUUACCUAUAGACUGUAUAUAUCUGUAUACAUUCUAUAUCUUUACGUAUAGACUGUAAAAAAACUGUAUACAUUCUGCAGCUUUACCUUUAGACUGUCUAUAUCUGUAUACGGUCUAUAGCGUUACCUAUGGACUGUAUACAGAUAUAGAUUCUAUAGGUAACGCCACAGACUGUAUACACAUAUAUAUUGUAGUGUUUCCUGUAGACUGUAUAUAUCUGUAUAUGGUCUAUAGCUUUACCUAUAGACAGUAUACACAUAUAUACAGUCUAUAGUUAACAUUAUAGACCGUAUACAGAUUUAUAUAUAUUGUAGCAUUAUAUAUAGACUGUAUGCAGAUAUACACAGUCUAUAGGAAACACCAGACCGUACACAGAUGUUUGACAUUAUACGUGUUACAUUCCGCGUGUUCUUCAGAUCAGUUGCUAUGGUUACGGUGGCCAUAUUUGGUUCUGUGGAAGGUUCCGUGUUGGAUGUUUGGAUGAGGAGUUUUUGGAGCUGCAGCUGUACAGUCUGAGCUUCUGCCAUAACUGCUGUUCGUACGAUCCACUGUAAAUACAGGUUUUUAUCCAAAAUAUCA
This is a long non-coding RNA of Boleophthalmus pectinirostris (great blue-spotted mudskipper), 3283 nucleotides long. RefSeq lists it as uncharacterized. Lineage: Eukaryota; Metazoa; Chordata; Actinopteri; Gobiiformes; Gobiidae. The transcript is spliced from 2 exons. The record is from RefSeq and is a predicted model, not a curated record.